CUGGAGCCAGCUUAGCAGCCAAUUCCUUUCCUGGUGGGAAUGUGGAGUUCGAAGCUGAAAACAGCUGCCUCCUUGGCUGUAGGCAGCGUGUUGCUCAGAUGGGUUGCCCCGAGGGGCUUUGAAGGCAGGU
Rattus norvegicus (Norway rat) is the source of this 130-nucleotide small nucleolar RNA. Ensembl annotates it as small nucleolar RNA SNORA70. NCBI's taxonomy places the organism in Eukaryota, Metazoa, Chordata, Mammalia, Rodentia, Muridae. The record is from Ensembl.